Cucumis melo (muskmelon) is the source of this 1618-nucleotide long non-coding RNA. RefSeq lists it as uncharacterized. Lineage: Eukaryota; Viridiplantae; Streptophyta; Magnoliopsida; Cucurbitales; Cucurbitaceae. The transcript is spliced from 2 exons. The record is from RefSeq and is a predicted model, not a curated record.
UCUUCUUCUCCAUCACAAACCCUAAAGGAACCCUAGGAAGUCUUCACAAGGAAACCCUCUCCGUCGCCACCAUCGACGACCGUUUCCUUGCCGGUCGUUAUCCUCCAUCGGAAGCUGCCACCACCGCCGUGCAGUCAUCGCGCGUCGCUUCUGUGAGCCGAGCCGUUCGCAUGAAUCUGAGCAUCGUCAACCAUCCAAAAGCCAGUGAGCCGAUCAUCUUCACACCGUGCUCGCCUGCCGUUCACGUGGAGCCCCGCCGCAUCGUCUCGAAGCAGCCACCGACGAUCAACUAGCCGCCGUCGUUGCCAAACGUCAACCACAGUCGCACCGACUCUACACUCGUUUGAGCCAAGUCGUCCUCCAAACCGCUGACAUCAUCCCUCCAUUCAAGCCAUGCGAGUUGCCUCCGCUUUUCGAGUCGCGACCUAGUUGAACCUUGGUACCCGAGCCGUGCGUGAGCCACCUCUAGAAUGAAUUGAGAACCUUGUUUCCUUUAGCUACUUUAGUCAAACCCUACUUUAAUUUCUCUUGUUUCCUGGAAGGAAAUUUUUGGCUCAGCUAACUUUAAUUGGAAGGAACUGAGAACCUUGUUUCCUCAUCAGUUAGGGUUGAAUUGGAAUUCAACCUGAGUCUCGGGACUUCAUUAUUCGGAAAAGCUCGUCUACCGCUACCAGGUAAUCUCCAGGUAAGAGAUUCUACUACUAGACCCUAGAGUUAAAUUCAAAGAGACCACAUGUAUGAAUGGUUAUGUACUGAUGAUGGCUAGCUACAGAACUUGAGGUUAUAGAUAGAAACUGAUAUUGUAAAUAUGACUGCUAGAUGACUUUGUGGUUAGAGCUGAUAAUGCAUCGAUGUUAUCACCUGCGUUUUAAUGAUAUUAUAUUGCGAUUGAGGAUGAUAUGAUAGGAUAUGUAUGGUAUGUCAUGUUGUGGCAUGAUAUGUUAUGAUAUGAUUUGAUAAUGUGUUAUGUGCAUGCUAUGGAUAGGGUGUUUGUUAGCUUUACCUAUUAAAGUCGUACUCAUAUGAGUGUCCUUCGGGAUCACCACUCUUUUGAUGACUAUGUAGUCCGACGGGAUCACCAGUCUAACAUUGACAUUGACAUAGACAUGAUUUGAGAGAUCCGACGAGAUCGCUCAUACUUAUGACUAUGUAGUUCGACGGGACCACCAAUCUGACAUUGACAUUGACAUAGACAUGAUUUGAGUGAUUCGACGGGAUCACUCAAAGUCUGAUCGUCUUAUGUGUUCCUUUGUGUUCAUCAAAGACCAGCUUCUUCCUACGGGAUCACAGAUUGCACGUGUUUGGAAACGUGCCAGUUUAGGGGCAGAGGCAGAGGUAAGAGCAAAGGUAAGCUGGCGAAUGACCAGAAGUGACAGUGGCGAGCCAUAGGGAUACGUUUGCUUCCGCUUACGUCAUGUGUCAGAUUUCAGUGUCGAUAUUCUUUUCAUUUUAUUUUAUUCUAUUUAUUUCCUUGUUUUUUCUUUAAAACUAGUAGGACCCGAGAUAGGAAUUCUAUUUUAAUUUAUUUUCGUACAUUCUAUUUAUAAUUUUAACGAUAAUUUUCAAUUUUGUUUUAUUUUCUAUUUACUUUAAAUAAAUUUAAUUCUUUUCUUUUAAA